GGAGAAGGAGAAAAAAUAGAGUUGCUUCUGAAUAAAGCCUUAGUUAUACCUGCAUAAUAUUUCUUGCCAUUCACAACGGAAGCAGCUAUAAAACAUGUGACAGUGAGAUUUUGAACCAGCUAUGCAUGUGAGCCUGUAAAGCUUGUGAAAGUUCCUGCAUCUUCCUUUCCUUGCAUUACUGGGCCUACAUUCUUGAACUGCUGCAUUCUGCUAUUGCUGCUGCUGAUUGUUUCUCCAGCUUCCUGAGCUGCACAACUGCUGAAGGACAAUCACCAUCUGAACUGCUGAGAGGACUCAAAACUACAACCAAACUUACCCAAUGGCAGCUACUGAUAGGACUUUCCGUCCAUCUCAUACUGAGGAUGCAGAGAUUCAUAAUCAGGUGGAUUUCAAAGUCUUCGCAGUGAAGCGAGGGAUUGUGGCAGCACUUCAAGGAACAAGGUUUGCAAUUAACUGUUGCCUGCAGAUGGGAGGAAUGCCCCGGCUUUGUUGCCAAAGGCUUUUCCUUUCGCUCCGGUGAUGGCCUAAUCAAAACAGAGACCAUGCUCACCCAGCGUCUGCCACCCUGUACUCACACUGUGAAACGAGAAGAUUUCUUCAUUACUCCACUUGCCCAAGUCCUUGCUGUUACAUGUAGGUUUUAAAAAUAAAUAAAU
Hemicordylus capensis (graceful crag lizard) is the source of this 656-nucleotide long non-coding RNA. RefSeq lists it as uncharacterized. NCBI's taxonomy places the organism in Eukaryota, Metazoa, Chordata, Lepidosauria, Squamata, Cordylidae. The transcript is spliced from 4 exons. The record is from RefSeq and is a predicted model, not a curated record.